This 1084-nucleotide long non-coding RNA is filed under the name Jatropha curcas. RNAcentral's name for it is "long non-coding RNA (JCUR_LNC000135)". The record is from RNAcentral. Lineage: Eukaryota; Viridiplantae; Streptophyta; Magnoliopsida; Malpighiales; Euphorbiaceae.
CAUAUAAACCUGAUUGAAACAAAGUUGUUUCAAAUGCAUAUAAUGCAACUAUAGCAGAAAGAGGAACAAGAUGAAGAACAUAUAUAUUCUCUUAAUUACAAGGUACAAUUUUCCUCACAUAGAUAUCAUUCAUUCAUUACAAGGGCAUCAACUGUCUUCUCUUAUUGCAGGAAAGAUUUUUUACAAUCAAUUUCCUUCCAGAGCUAAAGAAAAUCUAUGGACUUGAAAGAUGCAACUUCUUCCACCAUUGUUGCUUUAUAUAUGCUAUGCCCUUGAUCCAAAAAAAGGUAAGUUCCGAAGUUGCACGAUCCGAUCUCAAGUUUGGGUGUAAAUAACUAAUAUAUCUCAAGGGUGUUGAGAUGCUAGCAUUUUCCAUUUACAUUGCAUUACAGAUACCAGAAACUAGGCUCUAUCAUUUACAGCUAUGGCCGGGCUCAUCUUCUUCUUCCUCUCACUAAAACUAUGGCAAGAAAGCAAACUGGGAAGGCAACAUUGUGCAGAUUUAAUUGAUUUCUCCUUCUGAAAUAAGGGUUCUCCAUUAGCAGUCCGUUCGCUACUACAGACGCUGUUAGGUCCAGAGACAUAUGGGGUACCAGAUGCAGACUUGGGAAGAACAUCAAGAAUGGUUUGUUUGACUUCUAUCUUUCCAUUGUUGAUAUUUUGGUUGUCUGAAGUUUGCUGAUCAUCAGUGUCUGGCUCCUCUCUCCGACUCUCCCGGAAAAGUUCAGAUAACUUCUUUUUCACUGUUGGUGAUGGUUCAGGUUUGGAAGCUGGAGAUCUGUCCUCCAAAUUGGUUUUGUUGAUUUUAGGGGUCCCCAUGGCAAAGCUAUGAUGCACUGGGGUACUGCCACGAGAUGGCGUAAAUUCUGCACAGUUAAGGCCAAAAAUCAUGUAAUUAGCAAAAUAUGACAAAACUGGCUGGCAAUAAUCAAUUAAAAUUCAAUCCUUUCUUCAACUUUGAAUCAAUUCCAAAAAAUCUGAUAACAAGUAAGCUGCCGGUAUAGUUAAUUUCAAUCUGACAAAACUAAUGACCACCUGUAAUAAGCUUUCAGGAAAAUAUGCUCUACAAGAAGACCAUUUUCUU